AUGGCGGCGCGGUCCAUGAGCCCGGCUUCCAGCGCCGAACUGCAGAGAGAGGGGGGAGCUCUCCUGCGGCUCAACGUAGAAGAAGGUGGUAGAUGGCCGGGGACGACCGGAUCCAGCGCUGUAAGCGGUGGUUGGCGGCGCAGGGGUCCCCGGUGGCCGAAUCCGGCGCUGGUGGCCAUACGCGGGAGGGGCGCAACAGCGCGGGUAGUGGAAGGGGCCGGGGUCACGCUGCUAGGUAGGGGUGCCAGGCGGCGCGGCGUUUCUUGGCUGCCGGCGGGAUGUGGUGGGAGGUGCGGCUGGUGGAGGUUGGGGCGGCGCGAGGGAGGCUGGGGAGCGGGCGACGCGCGAGGGAGGCCGGGGAGGAAGCGCACGGGAGGAGGAGGGUCGGGGGCGGCGGCGGCACUGGGCCUGUGCGGGCCGGAUCUGGGCUCGAAACGCGGCCCGGACAUGACCGGACCCAAAUGGGCGCGCUGCUUCUUCUCCGAUAGAAGUAUAGAAGAAUUAGAUAUUGGCAUUGGUCUGGCCCGAAUCUCGUUGUUUGGAUGGCUGUGGCAUUCGGCAUUGGAAACGAGCUCGAAUAUCGGCCCGACCGCGGCAAAUUGCGCGCCUGCCUUUCUCCAAUUCGGACCCCCAACGCUGGAUAUUGCCUUGUAUUCGCUAGCCAGAGCCCCUCCCCGCCAACUUACCUCUUCGUUCCCGCUCGAGGAAAGGCAAGAGGCGCGAGCGACGGCGCGAUUGAGGAACGCCAGCGGCGGCGCAGGUGAGAUCCCUCCCCCUCCCCCUCCCCUCCUUGUCCUCCCCGUCCUUCUCUAUCCCCGGCGAGGCUCUGUUCGUCCCCGUCCUGCUCCCUCCCCGUGCCAAUCCUCAACCCCCUCCCCCGUCUCACCAGCCAUGGCGGCCAAGAGGAUGACCAUCCAAACAAGCUUCAGAAUUGGGGCUCUCAUCCAAAUUCCAAGUGGCAAUUCUGUGCACAUCCAAACAACAGAAUUCGGGUUCAAUGCACCAGCACCCCACUCCAGCUCCUACCCUCGCCGCCGACGGAGGCCACCACCAGGUGAAGCCUGCGUCGUGGCUUCUCCUCGUCUCCCGGCCGUGCCCCCGGGCUGUCCUGUCAUCCCAGUGCUCGGGAGGUCCGGCGACGCGUUUCUCGGUGGCCUCCUGCCGGCCGACGGAUCCAGGGCGGCUGCUCCUCUCGUCGCGCCUCCCCGUUACUGCGGCGCGAUGUCCCGCCCCUCCUUACUUUUCUUCCCUCCUCUGACCUCCAUGGGGACCAGCGCCGCCCAAGUUUCCCCGCCCCCGGGUUCCGGUGAGGGCUGCGGCGAUCCACGGCUGCUGGGCUUCUUUUCCUACGGGGCUGGGGAAUUGGGAGAUGCUCCUGCUGCUGCCAGUCAUGGGGGAUACAUGUUCAGACGGGAGAUGAUGAACCGGGUAAUGCACGCCGCGGCGAGGGGCGACGACCUGAAGAUCCUCAAGGAGCUCCUGCAGGGUUGCUCCAUUGCUGGUGCGUACCAGGACGCCCAGGGCGCCACCAUCUUUCAUGUUGCUGCUUCAAGGGGGCCAAAGAGAUGGCCAUGGUUGCCCGAUGCCCGAGCGUCGCCGGCCAAGGACCCGUCGGCGUCUAGACCCCCUCCACGCCAUCCCCAUCUCGCCAAAGACCUGCACCAAGUCCCGUCCAGAGCCUGCGCCAUCCUCGGCCCCCGCCCCGCAGCUCUACAGCCCGAGCGCUUCAGCCGCCUCGCACCCGAUGUAGAGGAGAGGAGCUCCCUGCCACGAGCCUCCCUAGCGCUAGCAAACCAGCAGGCCGACCCCGCCUCCUUCUCGCUUCCCUCCUCCUUCCUUUUGCCUCCCGCGGCAUGGCCGCCGUCCCGUGCCCGGCGGUGGAGAAGACAAAUACUGUGA
This 1899-nucleotide ribosomal RNA is filed under the name Triticum aestivum (bread wheat). RNAcentral describes it as "partial small subunit ribosomal RNA". The record is from RNAcentral. Lineage: Eukaryota; Viridiplantae; Streptophyta; Magnoliopsida; Poales; Poaceae.